Molecule: long non-coding RNA, 2945 nt
Organism: Brassica rapa (field mustard)
Lineage: Eukaryota; Viridiplantae; Streptophyta; Magnoliopsida; Brassicales; Brassicaceae
Source: RefSeq, a predicted model, not a curated record
AUUUUAUGGUUUUCUAUAUAAUCAAAGUAUGUUAAUUUUGUAAAGUUUGCGGUUUUGUUCUGAUUAUAAUAAGCGUAAGCAGAAAUAUAAGUUUAGAUCUUAAAAUAUCAUAUUGGUUAUGAUUGAUAAACUUUAGAGUAAUACAAAGUAAAUGAAAAAUUAAAAAAACAGAAAAAAAAUUGAAAUAUGAAAAAAACUAUCGUUAAUUGUAUUUCUAUUGCAAAUUCAAAAGUAGAAUUUAGAAUAUUUUCUAUUUUGUCAAUGGAUAGACGCUUAAAAACAAUAUUUAGAUUUAAAAUUAAAAUAAUAUUUAUCUUGAUUGGUAGGAUUUUAGUUAAAUAUGGUGUAAAAUUAAAUUUUGAGUAAAAGCUUACUCCAUAUUUACCGUCCAGUCAAAACCAUCAACUUGUGCUAUUGUCAUCCAAAUUAAUUGUAGUCUUUUGUCGAUAAAGGGACAAUAAAAAGCUAUAUGUGCAAUAAACUCGAAGAAUAAAGUAAAAAGUGGAAAUAAAGUAUAAGUUUGGCACUCAGGAAGAUCCAACGGCUACAAAGGUUUUAUAAGAAACGAACGGUUGCGAGAUUGCGCACAAGCGGAAAUAGCGAGAAGAUGACGUGGCGUAUUUAUAGUGGAGGAGAAGAUAUUUCCCCAAGGGCGAGGCUGGUGGUUAUGGAUCAGGUAAUAUACACGUGGAUGGUCUUCUCAUCUACAGUGGGACCCAAUUUAAACUAGUGGCUUGACAAGCAUCAACGUAGCCUUUUAAAAACCGGUUAUAUUAUUUUAUCAAAUUAUAAUUCAACUCAAUUUAAAAUAUUAUAUUCUUAAACACUACGACCUAAAAGUCCCAAGUGUUUCGUGAAUAUCAAUUUUGUACCCCUUAAAGUCGUUUUUGUUGAAAUUUCAUAAUGUCCUAACAUGUAACAAAGCCUCACAAUCCUAAAUUAAAUGUCAUUAUUAAUAACCGACCAUUAUUGUUUUAUUAUUAUUUUUGCUUUUUACUCUAAUCUCUAAGAUUUGCUUGAACUUGGUCCAACACAAGAUCCAACUGAAUAUGGUUUCAGUGAAUUGUUUGAUGGUGGCAUAUGAACACACAUAGGGUAGUUGAUGUAGAUAGAUAUUUAGAAUAAAUAUCAUUCUAAAUAUCUUAAUGAUUUAGUGUUUUAUUUAUUAUUUGGAUAAUUAUCUUUAAUGUUUUAGGGUUUUAUGAUUUCUUAUAUAUAGCCGUCUAGGCUUAAGUUUGUAUUGAGAUUUUGAUUAAUUAAUAAAAAAGGAGUUUUCCUAAAGAGGUUUCUAUAAACCACUGAGAAGAGUAUUCUCAACCCUAAAGAGCUUUUGAUUAAGCACUGUGAAGAGUAUUCACAAACCCUAGUUUCCGGGUAUUCUUAGAAUCAACGGAUCUAGUUCUAUCCCUAGAAGCUUCCGCUACAUCAGUAGUAUAUGUUAACGUCGUGAUGUUAAUAUAGUUAUAAUUAACGAAUAGUUAAUGGUGUAUAUAAUGGUAUAAAAAGAUGUGUGAUGGUGUGUUAAUUCUAUGGUUUUUAAUCAGCUUUAAUAAAUGUCUUAUAAUAUUGUAUAUUACCAAUUUGUGAAAGAAAAUUAUACGAUUAGUGAAAGCCUUUAGGAAAAGUACAAAAUCCAAUGACAUAUAUUGUGAUAAACACGUUAAAUAAAUUAAUGCUAAUUUCAUAAUAAGAUUCUAAUUUAAUAGAAUAGAUGCAAAUUGGUUAUUUCAAAAUUUCAUCAAAAUAUUACAAUUAUUGCUAAAGAUAAAAUUGAUCUAUCACUAUUAUGUGACAAAUUUUGAAUGGUUAGUUUUUUUUUGUGCAAAUUUGACUGGUUAGUAUUUUCAUAGAUUCUCUCCUUUUAGGGCAUCUCCAACAAUGACACCAAAUUUGGUGUUGAAAUUAUACCAAAUUUGAUGUUUUGGUGUCAAUUUUUUUUUGUCAUCUCCAACAGUAACACCAAAUCUUAUACCAAAAGCAAUAUUAUAUAUUAUUUGAUGUUUUCAGUUUUAAAACUUUUAUAUUUCUAUUAUUUGUAAUUGAUAAAUAAUAAUUUUGUUAUAUCUGGAUUAAAUUUAUAUUUUAUUAUUUGUAAGUGAUAAAUAAUAAUAGUUAUUUACUAAUUUAUUUUGAAUAUAAUAAUAAAUAAAUAAAAAAAAAUUCUAAUUAUAUGAAAAUAACUUAAAAAUACAAAUAAUAUAAUAUUAUUUAUGUUUAAUUACAAAUUUGAUAGUAAUUGAUCUAUAUUAUUAAAUAAAACAUAUUAAAAUGUAUUUUAGAAAUUUUGUGUGAUGAAUAUUAUCACACCAAAUGUGAAAAUAAAUUUAAAACAAAAAAUAAUACAAUAUAUUUAUGUUUAAUUAUAAAUUUGAUAGUAAUUAAAUUAUAUUUUUAAAUGAAACAUAUUAAAAUAUGUAUUUUAAAGAUUUGGUGCGAUGAAUAGUAUUACACCAAAUUUGGUGUAAUUUUAUUCACAUUACAUCAAUUUGAUGUUUUGUUGGAGAUGAAAUUACACCAAAUUUGGUGUUUUGGUAUCUUGUUGGAGAUGAUUAUAGGACCUUAAGUCUAUUUUCAGUACAUGAAGACAAAACUUCAUGUAAGCAAAUGAAAGUCACACGUCCAACCAAACGGAGAGUCGUUUUAUUUAUCACAAUAUUUUAUACAUUUAGAAUAUACCCACGGGUAUUUUCCAGUUAAUACACUAAUAAUAGUAAACACACAGCAACACAUUUUAAAUUUUUAACGGAUGCAAAACCACAAAAUACUAGCGCUCCAAAUAUGUCAUAGUAUCAUUCGCGGUUCUUAUCAUCGAUGCUUAGAGAGCGGUUGCGGUCAUAUAGCUUUUGCGAUACGCGGCUGCGUAUGCUGGAGACAGCAUUUGGCUAACCCCUUCAGCCUUAAGAUGAGGAACCAACAUUUUCAUAGACAACUAGGGAUACACAUAA